GAUGAACGCUCGCGGCAGGCCUAAUACAUGCAAGUCGAACGAGAUUAAGAGGCUUGCUUCUUAUGAAAGUGGCGCACGGGUGCGUAACGCGUAUGCAACCUACCUUAAUCAGGGGGAUAGCCCGAAGAAAUUCGGAUUAAGACCGCAUAAAAACACAGGAUAGCAUUAUCCACUGUUCAAAUAUUUAUAGGAUUAAGAUGGGCAUGCGUGUCAUUAGCUAGUUGGCGGGGUAACGGCCCACCAAGGCGACGAUGACUAGGGGAUCUGAGAGGAUGACCCCCCACACUGGUACUGAGACACGGACCAGACUCCUACGGGAGGCAGCAGUAAGGAAUAUUGGUCAAUGGAGGGAACUCUGAACCAGCCAUGCCGCGUGCAGGAAGACAGCCCUCUGGGUCGUAAACUGCUUUUAUUCGGGAAUAAACCUUUCUACGUGUAGGAAGCUGAAUGUACCGAAGGAAUAAGGAUCGGCUAACUCCGUG
Molecule: ribosomal RNA, 482 nt
Filed under: uncultured bacterium
Lineage: Bacteria
Description: partial 16S ribosomal RNA
Rfam family: Bacterial small subunit ribosomal RNA
Source: RNAcentral